AAUCACUUGUCUUUUAAAUGAGGACCUGUAUGAAAGGUACCACGAGGGCUUAACUGUCUCCUCUCUCAAGUCAAUGAAAUUGAUCUCCCCGUGCAGAAGCGGGGAUAAAACUACAAGACGAGAAGACCCUGUGGAGCUUGAGACGCCUAGGCAGACAACGUCAAUCCCCUCUGAACAAAGACCCAAACCAGUUGGUACCUGCCUUAAUGUCUUCGGUUGGGGCGACCCUGGGGUAACAAAAAACCCCCACAUGGAAUGGGAGCACCAAGCCCACUUUCCACCCAACUCCCACAACUAAGGGCCAUGGCCCUAAUUAACAGAAUUUCUGACCAAACUCGAUCCGGCAAGUCCGAUUAAUAAAACGAGUUACCCCAGGGAUAACAGCGCAAUCCCCUUUCAGAGCCCAUAUCGACAAGGGGGUUUACGACCUCGAUGUUGGAUCAGGACAUCCCAGUGGUGCAGCCGCUACUAAGGGUUCGUUUGUUCAACGAUUAA
This 495-nucleotide ribosomal RNA is filed under the name Citharoides macrolepis (twospot largescale flounder). RNAcentral's name for it is "partial 16S ribosomal RNA". It matches the Rfam family "Bacterial large subunit ribosomal RNA", at positions 1963 to 2591 of the family's 2925-position model. Lineage: Eukaryota; Metazoa; Chordata; Actinopteri; Pleuronectiformes; Citharidae. The record is from RNAcentral.